UGGGGAAUUUUACACAAUGGGGGAAACCCUGAUGCAGCGACGCCGCGUGAUUUAGAAGGCCUUCGGGUUGUAAAAAUCUUUUGUAUGGGAAGAAAAUGACAGUACCAUACGAAUAAGGACCGGCUAAUUACGUGCCAGCAGCCGCGGUAAUACGUAAGGUCCGAGCGUUGUCCGGAAUCAUUGGGCGUAAAGGGUACGUAGGCGGAUAAGCAAGUUAGAAGUGAAAUCCUAUAGCUCAACUAUAGUAAGCUUUUAAAACUGCUCAUCUUGAGGUAUGGAAGGGAAAGUGGAAUUCCUAGUGUAGCGGUGAAAUGCGCAGAUAUUAGGAGGAAUACCGGUGGCGAAGGCGACUUUCUGGCCAUAUACUGACGCUGAGGUACGAAAGCGUGGGUAGCAAACAGG
RNAcentral lists this ribosomal RNA (402 nucleotides) under Verrucomicrobiota bacterium. Its description in RNAcentral is "Verrucomicrobia bacterium partial 16S ribosomal RNA". It matches the Rfam family "Bacterial small subunit ribosomal RNA", at positions 355 to 776 of the family's 1533-position model. Lineage: Bacteria; Pseudomonadati; Verrucomicrobiota. The record is from RNAcentral.